RNAcentral lists this ribosomal RNA (406 nucleotides) under uncultured bacterium. RNAcentral's name for it is "partial 16S ribosomal RNA". It matches the Rfam family "Bacterial small subunit ribosomal RNA", at positions 30 to 526 of the family's 1533-position model. The record is from RNAcentral.
AUUGAACGCUGGCGGCAGGCCUAACACAUGCAAGUCGAGCGAGCGGCGGACGGGUGAGUAAUGUCUGGGGAUCUGCCCGAUAGAGGGGGAUAACUACUGGAAACGGUGGCUAAUACCGCAUACCAUCGGAUGUACCCAUAUGGGAUUAGCUAGUAGGUGGGGUAACGGCUCACCUAGGCGACGAUCCCUAGCUGGUCUGAGAGGAUGAUCAGCCACACUGGAACUGAGACACGGCCCAGACUCCUACGGGAGGCAGCAGUGGGGAAUAUUGCACAAGGGGCGCAAGCCUGAUGCAGCCAUGCCGCGUGUAUGAAGAAGGCCUUCGGGUUGUAAAGUACUUUCAGCGGGGAGGCGUUACCCGCAGAAGAAGCACCGGCUAACUCCGUGCCAGCAGCCGCGGUAAUUC